Molecule: long non-coding RNA, 332 nt
Filed under: Lathyrus oleraceus (garden pea)
Lineage: Eukaryota; Viridiplantae; Streptophyta; Magnoliopsida; Fabales; Fabaceae
Description: Pisum sativum (pea) long non-coding RNA (PSAT_LNC041122)
Source: RNAcentral
ACUACCCUCUCUCCACUAGGUCACUCAACACUAUCUGCUAUUGAGGUACUACCAUAAAUAUAUGAACUGGAAUAAAAGUUUAAAAUAAAAACAAAACAAAAAAUUUCAUGGUUUUUAUAUUAUUUCUGUAAAAAAACAAAUUAAGUUAAAUAAAUAAAAAGAAAAUAAUUAAAAAAGAAAAAAACAAAAAAAAGGAAAACGACAGAAACCCUUCUCCAUCGCCUUCGUCUUCCUCCCCUCACGAACCCGACCUUCCCAAACUCUCUCAGGCGAAAACCUCUCCCUGCUCUCAGAAUCACUAUCCCUCAAACUCACCCAAUCAUCUCUCAAAU